UCAGUCGACUCCUACGGGAGGCAGCAGUGGGGAAUCUUGGACAAUGGGCGCAAGCCUGAUCCAGCCAUGCCGCGUGAGUGAAGAAGGCCCUAGGGUCGUAAAACUCUUUCGCCAGGGGAUGAUAAUGACAGUACCUGGUAAAGAAACCCCGGCUAACUCCGUGCCAGCAGCCGCGGUAAUACGGAGGGGGUUAGCGUUGUUCGGAAUUACUGGGCGUAAAGCGUACGUAGGCGGAUUAGUCAGUCAGAGGUGAAAUCCCAGGGCUCAACCCUGGAACUGCCUUUGAUACUGCUAGUCUUGAGUUCGAGAGAGGUGAGUGGAAUUCCAAGUGUAGAGGUGAAAUUCGUAGAUAUUUGGAGGAACACCAGUGGCGAAGGCGGCUCACUGGCUCGAUACUGACGCUGAGGUACGAAAGUGUGGGGAGCAAACAGGAUUAGAUACCCUGGUAG
This 449-nucleotide ribosomal RNA is filed under the name uncultured bacterium. RNAcentral's name for it is "bacterial SSU rRNA". It matches the Rfam family "Bacterial small subunit ribosomal RNA", at positions 328 to 793 of the family's 1533-position model. The record is from RNAcentral.